RNAcentral lists this ribosomal RNA (623 nucleotides) under uncultured Penicillium. RNAcentral's name for it is "eukaryotic LSU rRNA". The stretch from base 247 to 396 matches the Rfam family "5.8S ribosomal RNA". The record is from RNAcentral. Lineage: Eukaryota; Fungi; Ascomycota; Eurotiomycetes; Eurotiales; Aspergillaceae.
CUUGGGUCAUUUAGAGGAAGUAAAAGUCGUAACAAGGUUUCCCGUAGGUGAACCUGCGGAAGGAUCAUUACCGAGUGAGGGCCCUCUGGGUCCAACCUCCCACCCGUGUUUAUUUUACCUUGUUGCUUCGGCGGGCCCGCCUUAACUGGCCGCCGGGGGGCUUACGCCCCCGGGCCCGCGCCCGCCGAAGACACCCUCGAACUCUGUCUGAAGAUUGUAGUCUGAGUGAAAAUAUAAAUUAUUUAAAACUUUCAACAACGGAUCUCUUGGUUCCGGCAUCGAUGAAGAACGCAGCGAAAUGCGAUACGUAAUGUGAAUUGCAAAUUCAGUGAAUCAUCGAGUCUUUGAACGCACAUUGCGCCCCCUGGUAUUCCGGGGUGGUCCUUCCGAGCGUCAUUGCUGCCCUCAAGCACGGCUUGUGUGUUGGGCCCCGUCCUCCGAUCCCGGGGGACGGGCCCGAAAGGCAGCGGCGGCACCGCGUCCGGUCCUCGAGCGUAUGGGGCUUUGUCACCCGCUCUGUAGGCCCGGCCGGCGCUUGCCGAUCAACCCAAAUUUUUAUCCAGGUUGACCUCGGAUCAGGUAGGGAUACCCGCUGAACUUAAGCAUAUCAAUAAGCGGGAGGA